GACGAACGCUGGCGGCGUGCCUAAUACAUGCAAGUAGAACGCUGAAGGAAGGAGCUUGCUCUUUCUGGAUGAGUUGCGAACGGGUGAGUAACGCGUAGGUAACCUGCCUGGUAGCGGGGGAUAACUAUUGGAAACGAUAGCUAAUACCGCAUAAAAUUGAUUAUUGCAUGAUAGUCAAUUAAAAGGUGCAACUGCACCACUACCAGAUGGACCUGCGUUGUAUUAGCUAGUUGGUGGGGUAACGGCUCACCAAGGCGACGAUACAUAGCCGACCUGAGAGGGUGAUCGGCCACACUGGGACUGAGACACGGCCCAGACUCCUACGGGAGGCAGCAGUAGGGAAUCUUCGGCAAUGGACGGAAGUCUGACCGAGCAACGCCGCGUGAGUGAAGAAGGUUUUCGGAUCGUAAAGCUCUGUUGUAAGAGAAGAACGAGUGUGAGAGUGGAAAGUUCACACUGUGACGGUAGCCUACCAGAAAGGGACGGCUAACUACGUG
This 497-nucleotide ribosomal RNA is filed under the name uncultured bacterium. RNAcentral describes it as "partial 16S ribosomal RNA". It matches the Rfam family "Bacterial small subunit ribosomal RNA", at positions 28 to 507 of the family's 1533-position model. The record is from RNAcentral.